Myotis davidii is the source of this 74-nucleotide non-coding RNA. The record is from Rfam. Lineage: Eukaryota; Metazoa; Chordata; Mammalia; Chiroptera; Vespertilionidae.
GCCGCUGUGGCUCAGUGGUUGGAACGUCAGCCCACGCACUGAAAGGUCAUGGGUUCGAUUCCCAGUCAAGGGCA